AUUGAACGCUGGCGGCAGGCCUAACACAUGCAAGUCGAACGGUAGCACAGAGAGCUUGCUCUCGGGUGACGAGUGGCGGACGGGUGAGUAAUGUCUGGGAAACUGCCCGAUGGAGGGGGAUAACUACUGGAAACGGUAGCUAAUACCGCAUAACGUCGCAAGACCAAAGAGGGGGACCUUCGGGCCUCUUGCCAUCGGAUGUGCCCAGAUGGGAUUAGCUUGUAGGUGAGGUAACGGCUCACCUAGGCGACGAUCCCUAGCUGGUCUGAGAGGAUGACCAGCCACACUGGAACUGAGACACGGUCCAGACUCCUACGGGAGGCAGCAGUGGGGAAUAUUGCACAAUGGGCGCAAGCCUGAUGCAACCAUGCCGCGUGUAUGAAGAAGGCCUUCGGGUUGUAAAGUACUUUCAGCGGGGAGGAAGGGAGUGAGGUUAAUAACCUUAUUCAUUGACGUUACCCGCAUAAGAAGCACCGGCUAACUCCGAGCCAUCACCCGCGGUAAUACGGACGGUGCAUCCCUUAAUCGGGAAUUACUGGGCGUAAAGCGCACGCCUGCGGUCUGUCAAGUCGGAUGUGAAAUCCCCGGGCUCAACCUGGGAACUGCAUUCGAAACUGGCAGGCUGGAGUCUUGUAGAGGGGGGUAGAAUUCCAGGUGUAGCGGUGAAAUGCGUAGAGAUCUGGAGGAAUACCGGUGGCGAAGGCGGCCCCCUGGACAAAGACUGACGCUCAGGUGCGAAAGCGUGGGGAGCAAACAGGAUUAGAUACCCUGGUAGUCCACGCUGUAAACGAUGUCGACUUGGAGGUUGUUCCCUUGAGGAGUGGCUUCCGGAGCUAACGCGUUAAGUCGACCGCCUGGGGAGUACGGCCGCAAGGUUAAAACUCAAAUGAAUUGACGGGGGCCCGCACAAGCGGUGGAGCAUGUGGUUUAAUUCGAUGCAACGCGAAGAACCUUACCUACUCUUGACAUCCACGGAAUUUGGCAGAGAUGCCUUAGUGCCUUCGGGAACCGUGAGACAGGUGCUGCAUGGCUGUCGUCAGCUCGUGUUGUGAAAUGUUGGGUUAAGUCCCGCAACGAGCGCAACCCUUAUCCUUUGUUGCCAGCGAUUCGGUCGGGAACUCAAAGGAGACCGCCAGUGAUAAACUGGAGGAAGGUGGGGAUGACGUCAAGUCAUCAUGGCCCUUACGAGUAGGGCUACACACGUGCUACAAUGGCAUAUACAAAGAGAAGCGACCUCGCGAGAGCAAGCGGACCUCAUAAAGUAUGUCGUAGUCCGGAUUGGAGUCUGCAACUCGACUCCAUGAAGUCGGAAUCGCUAGUAAUCGUGGAUCAGAAUGCCACGGUGAAUACGUUCCCGGGCCU
This 1362-nucleotide ribosomal RNA is filed under the name uncultured bacterium. Its description in RNAcentral is "bacterial SSU rRNA". It matches the Rfam family "Bacterial small subunit ribosomal RNA", at positions 28 to 1381 of the family's 1533-position model. The record is from RNAcentral.